UGGGGAAUAUUGCACAAUGGGCGCAAGCCUGAUGCAGCCAUGCCGCGUGUAUGAAGAAGGCCUUCGGGUUGUAAAGUACUUUCAGCGGGGAGGAAGGCGAUAAGGUUAAUAACCUUGUCGAUUGACGUUACCCGCAGAAGAAGCACCGGCUAACUCCGUGCCAGCAGCCGCGGUAAUACGGAGGGUGCAAGCGUUAAUCGGAAUUACUGGGCGUAAAGCGCACGCAGGCGGUCUGUCAAGUCGGAUGUGAAAUCCCCGGGCUCAACCUGGGAACUGCGUUCGAAACUGGCAGGCUAGAGUCUUGUAGAGGGGGGUAGAAUUCCAGGUGUAGCGGUGAAAUGCGUAGAGAUCUGGAGGAAUACCGGUGGCGAAGGCGGCCCCCUGGACAAAGACUGACGCUCAGGUGCGAAAGCGUGGGGAGCAAACA
Molecule: ribosomal RNA, 427 nt
Filed under: uncultured bacterium
Lineage: Bacteria
Description: partial 16S ribosomal RNA
Rfam family: Bacterial small subunit ribosomal RNA
Source: RNAcentral